CCCUUAGAUGUCCUGGGCCGCACGCGUGCUACACUGAUGCAUACAGCGAGUACUUUCCAGCUCCGCGAGGCAGCUGGUAAUCAGCAAUAUGCAUCGUGCUGGGGAUAGAUCUUUGGAAUUAUAGAUCUUGAACGAGGAAUUCCUAGUAAGCGCAAGUCAUUAGCUUGCACUGAUUAAGUCCCUGCCCUUUGUACACACCGCCCGUCGCUCCUACCGAUUUCGAGUGAUUCGGUGAACCUUUUGGACAGCGUCUGUCCUCGUGUCAGAUGCUGAAAGUCAAGUAAACCAUAUCACUUAGAGGAAGGAGAAGUCGUAACA
RNAcentral lists this ribosomal RNA (318 nucleotides) under uncultured eukaryote. Its description in RNAcentral is "partial 18S ribosomal RNA". It matches the Rfam family "Eukaryotic small subunit ribosomal RNA", at positions 1470 to 1796 of the family's 1831-position model. The record is from RNAcentral.